GCGGCCAAGAAUCCCCUUCACACGUGCAGACAAAGAGCGCCAACAACACAGCCCAAAUAUGCACUUUUAAACUUUUUUAAACGCAACGACGACUUCCGUGAACAAAUACACUUCAAAGACUUCGGAGACCAUUUUGACGCAGAGAUGGGGACAAAGAAGUUGGGACGGGUCUGUCUGAACGUUGAAAUUCAGGGCAGUGGUCCGGUCUCCCUGUGGAUCUAUCGAAGACUGAGGUUUGGAAAAACAGCACCCUUGGGGUUUUCAUGGACACAGCGCCUUCAGCCGGGUUUCCUUUCCCCUGAAGAACAGAUGCUAUGACCUACUCAGCUAAGCCCUGGGAGGAGAGAUGAGGAGAGAAGAGGAGAGAAGAAGAGUGGAAUAAAAUACUCCGUCUUUGAUUGCUUCGUUGACUGCAUCCUCCUGCGUCUUCCUGCCUCCCUGCGCCCCACUUCCACAUCCACUGAGGGACAUCGUUCACUAGCAACCGUGCGGAUGGAUUCUGUGGGUUUGGUGAUCUGGAGCUUGCUGCCGUCAGGAAGGAACACCUUCAACAGUGAAGGAUGGACAGAGAGUCCAGCGGGCUCUGCAACCAGACUGGUUACCAGGACUGGCCACCCCUUGGAGCCUGCUUCCUCUCUAGGUUUCUUCCUAGUUUUCAGGAGUUGCUUUAGGUUGUUAGGUUGGGUGUCUGUAAACAACAGCUGUUGUAAAAAAGGAUAAAAAAAGACAUUAAUGAUGUAUUUUCAAAUUCUAAAAAUAGAAUCUUGUCUGGAUUAGACUAUGCAGCUUGUUUAGUUUCAUUGCAAGUAAUUUAUUUCACACUUCAGGCAGAUUUUUAUUUUUAAUUCAAGCUUUUCUUUUUGGCCAUUUCAAGAUUUUUUAAACCCAAGGAAGCCUUUUUUGCAGUGGGACUGGUAGAGGAUUUAGAGCAGAUGUUAGGGGAGAGAUUCCAUGGCCUCCCAGCAUCUACGAAGACAGGCCCAAGGCCAGUUGAACAGGACCGGGUUAAUGGGUCAUGUGCCUUGGCUAAUUUUGUCCCAAGUGUUGCAGGAAAUGUGUACCGGACAGUAGCAUUAAAUUAUCUUUUAAACUGCAAACUUCCCUCAGCCUCAUGGCACCACGUGAACAAAUCAUCGGAUGAACUACAUAAACCAGUAAAUCUUUUGAGAAAAAACGCGGAGCACUUGCAGAACAUUUUCUCUCUACCUUAUGAGAAAAAAGGCAGAAUAGCAUUAACUUCAAAACUCUCUCUGCACCAGCAAAGGGGGCCACUCGAGGUUGGUGCCAUGGGGCCCCCCCAUGUGGUAGUCCAGCCCUGCAUAUGGAGACUAGGGUGACACCACAUUGCCAAGGAUAACGGUAAAUUGUAAAUGUUUGAAAGCAUCUGAACUGUACAUUUUGUAUGCUUGAAAUGACACAAAGGAGAAAAGGCCUCCAUCAUCCCAUAGGUACUCAUGGCUCAGGGAAGCAGACUGCAAAACGUAUUAUUUGUGUGUUGAAAUGACGAGGCAGUUUGAAAGGCUUGGCUGUUGCUGACAUCACAUAGACCUUUUUUGGUUUAUAACAAUAUUUUCAUUUGUUGCAUUUUCUGUAGUUAUUGCUUAAUCUAUAGAGAAACGUUGUCAACCGAUCAUGUAAAAUUAUGGUUUUGUGAUCUAGGCCAGCCUGAUGAGUGCCUUUUCCUGAUUAAUGAAGACUGAUUAAUUCAGCUCCCUAAUGUGUCUGGUAUCAGCACCAGGUUUGGACCCAACCUCCACCUUUACACGGUUUACCUACCCUUCGGCUCAGUGGGCUAGCACGUUCUGUUCUGCAGAAUUGGGUCAUGUUAAAGUUCUGCUAAUUAAAUAAAUAAGAACCUUCAGAAACAACCUUUUGUGGUCUUCUGCUGCCCCAAUUGUUUUCCUUCCUUUGUCAGCGCUGUCAGUUUCUGGGUAUCGUAAUAGUGAUUAAUAGUGUAAUAGUGAAUAGUGACUGUCUACCCUGGAUAUUGGAGAAAGUCGGUUUAGGCAGAGAUCCGCUCUUUCAUUAACAUAUAUUGGCACCCUUCAUGAGUUCUGUCUGCUGAGAGAAUUCAAUGUUCCAACGACAUCAAGGUGGUCCGUCUAAUAACGACAUCAAGGUGGUCCGUCUAAUAACGACAUCAAGGUGGUCCUUCUAAUAACGACAUCAAGGUGGUCUGCUUAGCCUCAAGCCCCUCGCAAACCUAUCCUCCCCUAAUUUAGUCUCAGGUCACAGGUACUUACCAGCUGGGCUAAAUUAAACCUGGGUCCCUCAGGAAGAAAAACCGGUCACCUCAGCAGAUGGUUUUGUCAUUCUGAGCGUCAAACUGGGUGAGACCGGAGGUAUGUUCAUUUCCCCGACCAAUAAAAUGUCCCUACAGGACACAUUCAGUUAUGUAACCGCCCUGGGUUUGUCUGUUGGUCUGACUUAUCUGAAUGUGUCCAACAGAAAUUGUUUUUGAAAAACCUCUUUCUGGCUGAAUGAAUACAUCCCAAAUGGAAGACAAUUUUUUUGGGGAAAACCUGUCUUUAAAGCAGAGUAUUUUUCGCAGUCUGAACACCACCAAGUUCCCCACUUGACCGGUUGUCUAUGGUACUGCUAUGGCCCCUAGUCUCUCACCCAUAUUUGCUCUGGUCAAAGGUAGUGCACUAUGUGGACAAUAGGGUGCCAUUUGGGAAACAGCCCAGCUGGCCGGAGGCUAUCUGGGAGACAUACAGGAAGGAUCUAAACCACACAUGUGAUUGAUAGUGGCCCUGGGUCUCUGUUGGCUCCCUGCUGCCUGCACAGCCCAGCCAUCAGGCAGCUCCUGGUGGAAUAACACUGCAGUUGAUUGGAUGGCCCUCUGCUGAUGCAAUGUGUCAUUGUGUCAUACGGCAAUGUGUCAUUGUGUCAUACUGGAGGGUGUCAUUGUGUCAUAUGGCAGUGUGUCAUUGUGUCAUACGGCAGUGUGUCAUUGUGUCAUACGGCAGUGUGUCAUUGUGUCAUACGGCAGUGUGUCAUUGUGUCAAACGGCAGUGUGUCAUUGUGUCAUACAAGAGUGUGUCACUGUGUCAUAUGGGAGUGUGUAAUGCGGCAGUGUGUCACUGUGUCAUACGGCAGUGUGUAAAUACGGCAGUGUGUCAUAGGGCAGUAUGUUAUUGUGUCAUACAAGAGUGUGUCACUGUGUCAUAUGGCAAUGUGUCAUUGUGACAUAUGGGAGUGUGUAAUGUGGCAGUGUGUCAUUGGGUCAUACAGCAGUGUGUCAUUGUGUCAUAUGGCAGUAUGUCAUUGUGUCAUACAGCAGUUUGUCAUUGUGUCAUAUGGCAAUGUGUCAUUGGGUCAUACGGCAGUGUGUCAUUGUGUCAUACAGCAGUGUGUCAUUGUGGCAUACAGCAGUAUGUCAUUGUUUCAUAUGGCAGUGUGUCAUUGUGUCAUACAAGGGUCUGUCACUGUGUCAUAUGGCAAUGUGUCAUUGUGUCAAAUGGGAGUGUGUAAUACGACAGUGUGUCAUUGUGUCAUACGGCAGCAUGUUGUUGUAUCUGUGUCAUUGUUUAAUAUGGCCAUUGUGUUUAUUGUUAUGGGGUUCACAGACGGGAGAAAGAAGCAAGGGUGCAAGGGAGAAGGAGAAGCCUCCUCUUCUCCUCCUCCUGUAUUCUACUCAUCUUCUGCUCCCUUUCAACUUUUCUGCUCUUCCUGUCUUCUAUUCAUCUUCUGCUCCCUUUCUACUUUUCUGCUCUUUCUCUUUUCCUGUCUUCCCUCUAAUGUUAUCCUUCUGUUCUCCUCCUCUUCUCCUCCUGUUCUCCAUUUGCUCCCUCUCCACUCCUUGUUUUGUCUUCCAUUUCUCAGUGACUGGAGAAAAUGAGAGAGAAGAGUGCCUGAGGAUGGUGGGCGUUAGUGGAAAAAGGGCGAGAGGUCGUAAGUUAAGAAAGGCAAGGGGAAGCUUGUGUACUGGUCCAGCAAACUAUAGAUUGUUAUGAUAGGCCAAUGCUGUUGCUAUGGGAAUUAGAAUGUAUUGUUACCGAGAAC
Long non-coding RNA from Esox lucius (northern pike), 4005 nucleotides. Lineage: Eukaryota; Metazoa; Chordata; Actinopteri; Esociformes; Esocidae. The record is from Ensembl.